Molecule: long non-coding RNA, 832 nt
Organism: Pleuronectes platessa (European plaice)
Lineage: Eukaryota; Metazoa; Chordata; Actinopteri; Pleuronectiformes; Pleuronectidae
Exons: 6
Source: RefSeq, a predicted model, not a curated record
GUGUGGCUGUCGUAAAAACCCUAUUUGUAAACAACCAGCCCUUUAACUCGGGGCUGCGUCAUAAACACGGCGCGCUUGGAAGACCACGAUGUCAUCUUCCUUCUGUCAGGAGGAUCCAAGUGAAGCUACAGGAGUUUCAUUAACGUCAACAACUUGGACCAAACAGUUUGUUUUGCUUGAUGAAGAGCAGGAAGGGCAGCCUGGAGAGAAAGAGAAGCCGGGUUGAGCCCACUACCAUCAUCCACGUACCACGAGGAAGAUGAGGGAGAGAAAUGAUCCUACCAUUAAAGAGACUGUGAAAAGAACGUUGAGAACAUCACCACUCUACAGGAAGACACAGUCCAGUAAUGGGUGUCAGAAGUUCAGUAGUGAACGACAGAAACAAACAAUCCAAAUUACCUGCAGAAAGCCCUUGAUGGACGCUUCAGCUGCAUCGUCAGACUGGCAGUACUGAUGCAUUUACUGAGAGGGGACGUGAGGGCCUACUCUGCGUGCUCAGAGUUCAAGCCCAGCAGGCUGCAGCGGGCCUGACAUAUUCUGGAACAGCAGCACAGUCUUUGGAUGACUCCUCUGAAGAUGAAAACAUGGCGAGUUCUUCUCAAGAGAAGCAGUACAGGUGUGCCUCAGCUCCACGGUCCCUCCUGCAGCCUCCGCUCCUGAUGCUAACCUCAUGUCUCCAUCACACCAAGCAGCAGACCUGGAUUGACAGACCUUUCUCCAGAGCUGCCCCCUCCCUCUGAAACCCCCCUCUCCAAAACACUAUUUGUGUAGUUUUUAAAGUAUUUUUUGCAUGAGAAUUGUUGAUCAUAACAUUUCCAGCAGAUGCCUUAAU